UUAAGUUCAGCGGGUAUCCUUGUCUGAUUUGAGGUCAAACUUCAGUUGCGCAAAGGCAACAUCAAAUUUAACGCCACCAAGCUAUGAAUGGUUGUAGGAAUAAAAUGUAAACACCACUCCAAUAAACCUAGCAUAAGCUUGCGGUCGUGCAGCAAGUUUAAGGCGGGAGCAGCCAUAAUAGCUAGUCCUCCGCAGCCCAU
This 200-nucleotide unclassified non-coding RNA is filed under the name Orbiliomycetes sp. Its description in RNAcentral is "partial internal transcribed spacer 2". Lineage: Eukaryota; Fungi; Ascomycota; Orbiliomycetes. The record is from RNAcentral.